Molecule: ribosomal RNA, 253 nt
Filed under: uncultured bacterium
Lineage: Bacteria
Description: partial 16S ribosomal RNA
Rfam family: Bacterial small subunit ribosomal RNA
Source: RNAcentral
UACGAAGGGGGCGAGCGUUGUUCGGAAUUACUGGGCGUAAAGGGCGCGUAGGCGGUCCUUCAAGUCAGGCGUGAAAGCCCCGGGCUCAACCUGGGAACCGCGCUUGAGACUGGCGGACUCGAGUUCGGGAGAGGAUGGUGGAAUUCCCAGUGUAGAGGUGAAAUUCGUAGAUAUUGGGAAGAACACCUAUGGCGAAGGCAGCACUCUGGGACGGUACUGACGCUGAGACGCGAAAGCGUGGGGAGCGAACAGG